AGUGAACGCUGGCGGUAGGCCUAACACAUGCAAGUCGAACGGCAGCACAGUAAGAGCUUGCUCUUACGGGAGGCGAGUGGUGGACGGGUGAGGAAUACAUCGGAACCUACUUUUUCGUGGGGGAUAACGGAGGGAAACUUACGCUAAUACCGCAUACGACCUACGGGUGAAUGCAGGGGAUCUUCGGACCUUGCGCGAUUGAAUGAGUCGAUGUCGGAUUAGCUAGUUGGCGGGGUAAAGGCCCACCAAGGCGACGAUCCGUAGCUGGUCUGAGAGGAUGAUCGGCCACACUGGAACUGAGACACGGUCCAGACUCCUACGGGAGGCAGCAGUGGGGAAUAUUGGACAAUGGGCGCAAGCCUGAUCCAGCCAUACCGCGUGGGUGAAGAAGGCCUUCGGGUUGUAAAGCCCUUUUGUUGGGAAAGAAAAGCAGCAGGUUAAUACCCCGCUGUUCUGACGGUACCCAAAGAAUAAGCACCGGCUAACUUCGUG
Molecule: ribosomal RNA, 492 nt
Filed under: uncultured bacterium
Lineage: Bacteria
Description: partial 16S ribosomal RNA
Rfam family: Bacterial small subunit ribosomal RNA
Source: RNAcentral